GGCGACGUAGCCAAGAGGUAAGGCCGCGGCCUGCAAAGCCGCUAUCACCGGUUCGAGUCCGGUCGUCGCCUCCA
RNAcentral lists this transfer RNA (74 nucleotides) under Candidatus Poribacteria bacterium. RNAcentral describes it as "tRNA-Cys". It matches the Rfam family "tRNA". From Rfam's summary of the family: Transfer RNA (tRNA) molecules are approximately 80 nucleotides in length. Their secondary structure includes four short double-helical elements and three loops (D, anti-codon, and T loops). Further hydrogen bonds mediate the characteristic L-shaped molecular structure. tRNAs have two regions of fundamental functional importance: the anti-codon, which is responsible for specific mRNA codon recognition, and the 3' end, to which the tRNAs corresponding amino acid is attached (by aminoacyl-tRNA synthetases). tRNAs cope with the degeneracy of the genetic code in two manners: having more than one tRNA (with a specific anti-codon) for a particular amino acid; and 'wobble' base-pairing, i.e. permitting non-standard base-pairing at the 3rd anti-codon position. The record is from RNAcentral. RNAcentral also lists the same sequence under 1 other name. Lineage: Bacteria; Candidatus Poribacteria.